CUCAGCUUGAAUUUUCAUUUUUAACAAAACUGUUUUAUACGUACGAAGAAAAAAAGGAAAAGAAAUUUAUUUCUGAAGGUUAUUCGAUGAUAUAGAAACCAUUUCGUUCGAUAACCUUUAUCGACUCGUUUGCUCGUAAUCGUUUUUCAUUCAUUGGCUUGCCAUUCUAUUCUCGUAGAAUUAAACAGCCAAUAAGGAGUUCCCCGUGAACGUGGAUCUAUUGCGAAUGUAACCUUACGUUCGUAUUUUGCUCCUCUCUUGUUUUAUAGUUUAAUUCGAAUGAUAGCUGCAGAUGGCGCCACAUGCUUUGGCUACGUUUACGUCGUACGUCGCUACAUCUAUCGGCAACACGGUAAACCAAUGUACGAGCUGUCCGACGCACAGUAUUCAGCAUCGUCUUCAUAGGACGGCACGUCGCGCGAUAUCUUUCGCGUACGUGCGAAUAUUUUUCAGCGAAGGAAAAUAAGAAAAGAAGGAAGGAAGGAAGGAAGGAAGGAAGGAAGGAAGGAAGGAAGAAAGGAAGAAGGAAAGAGAAGAAAAGUAAAGUAAAGAAAAGGAAAGAAUAAAAAGGGGAGACAGAAGGACUAACAAAACGAACUAACGAAGAGGAAGAAUAAGAAGAAAUAGAAAGAGAGAGAGAGAGAAAGACAGAGAGAGAGAGAGAGAGAGAGAGAGAGAGAGAGAGAGAGAGACAGGUCGCCAUCUUUACGGAAGCAUUUAUCCUCGAACCAACAAUUCACUUGUCGUGGAUAAUAUUACGGAAUAAUAUCGGCUCUAUCUCUUUUCGUCCUUCUGUCUGUCCGUCCGUCCGUCUGUCUGUCUGUCUGUCCGUUCGUCCGACAAUCGUGCGUUCGAAUAAUUUGGAGUGAUCGAUCGGUCGCGUGUAACACGGUGAACGCACAUUCGAGCUUUCGUUUGGAGUUUCGUAUAAAAGGAAAGGAAGGAAGAGACUUGGACACAACACAGGUUUAUCCGAUUGGCGAAAUUGAAAACCGAAGGUUUCGUUAAAUCGAUCGCGUGUGUUACACUCUUCGGUGAGCGAGCAAGUAAGUAAGUGAGUGAGUGAUUGAGUGAGAGUGAGCGAGCACGAGCAAGUGUGGCAAAGUGGUAUUGUAGCUACUAUUACUACUACUACUACUACUACUACUACUAUUACCUAUUACUACUCUUACUGUAAUUCGAAAGAGAGACCGGAAAAGAGAAAGCAAUAUACGAUAAACGUAUACAUGCAGUUUGUUGCCAGCGCGAACGCUUUUUGGCGUUCGAUUGGAUCAUUAAAUAUUUUUGGAAGAGAGGUAUAGAGAGAGAGAGAGAGAGAGAGAGAGAGAGAGAAAGAAAGAAAGAGGACAAGUUAAAUGGCUAUGUAAGUCGUGAGAAGAAGAGUUGACCCGACACUACAAAACUGAUCCUUGUCGACACUGCGAUAUUCUAAUUCACCUUCAUUCUAGCGAAUGAGUUUGGAAAGUACUUUAACGGAAGAAGUACGUCAUCUGCAUAUAUACAUAAUACAUUUAUACAUACAUACAUACGUACAUAUACACAUCAUACACACACACAUGCAUGCAUGUUUAUCUCUUUCUCUCUCUCUUUCUCUCUUUCUGUCUUUCUUGUUUCGUACGCGUGCAAGUUAUGGUUACUUUAGCUACAAGUUUUAUUUUGUUCGAACCGCAAAUCUCCAAUAUCUCUCUCUCUCUCUCUCUCUCUCUCUUUUUUUGCGUUUAUUACAGCGAAUUCUGCUUUGAUUAUGUCAUUUAAAUAAUUACAUUAAAUACUUUUCUUUCUUUCUUUAUUUAUUUUCUUUCUUUUUUUGCUUCUUCUUCUUCUUCUUGUACUUUACGUAAGAUUAUUGUUAUAUAAAAAAAAUUUAUUUCCCAUCGAUGUUUCGAAUGCAAUGAAUACUCCCUUUCUCUCCUCCCCCCCUCCAUAUUUUUCUCUCUCUCUCUCUCUCUCUCUUUCGCUCGUUCGCUCACUCUCACUCGUUUUGUUUCUUCGUUAAAAUGUCAUUCCCGCGGUAAGGAGGUCACUUGGUUAAUUUUAGAAACGUAACUCCUACAGAAUCUCAUAAACGUAAAGAGAAUGUUAAGGCCUUUUUAACUCUCUCGUUUGAUUCAGGGUCGUUCUGUUUCGACGCGUUGGAUAAAGAAAAGAUGGUUGAGAUAUCCUCCUCGUGAUAAUAGAACGAAUAGAACGAGAGUUAAGUUACGUCAAAGGUGUCUACGUAACGAAUUCAAUUAGAUCUUUUUUUU
Molecule: long non-coding RNA, 2246 nt
Organism: Vespula pensylvanica (western yellowjacket)
Lineage: Eukaryota; Metazoa; Arthropoda; Insecta; Hymenoptera; Vespidae
Exons: 3
Source: RefSeq, a predicted model, not a curated record